This 207-nucleotide ribosomal RNA is filed under the name uncultured Streptococcus sp. RNAcentral's name for it is "partial 16S ribosomal RNA". It matches the Rfam family "Bacterial small subunit ribosomal RNA", at positions 568 to 774 of the family's 1533-position model. The record is from RNAcentral. Lineage: Bacteria; Bacillati; Bacillota; Bacilli; Lactobacillales; Streptococcaceae.
AGCGCAGGCGGUUUGAUAAGUCUGAAGUAAAAAGGCUGUGGCUUAACCAUAGUAUGCUUUGGAAACUGUCAAACUUGAGUGCAGAAGGGGAGAGUGGAAUUCCAUGUGUAGCGGUGAAAUGCGUAGAUAUAUGGAGGAACACCGGUGGCGAAAGCGGCUCUCUGGUCUGUAACUGACGCUGAGGCUCGAAAGCGUGGGGAGCAAACA